Molecule: long non-coding RNA, 5050 nt
Organism: Mesoplodon densirostris (Blainville's beaked whale)
Lineage: Eukaryota; Metazoa; Chordata; Mammalia; Artiodactyla; Ziphiidae
Exons: 3
Source: RefSeq, a predicted model, not a curated record
CGUUGGAGAGCACAGGCUCCGGACGCACAGGCCCAGCGGCCAUGGCUCACGGGCCCAGAUGCUCCACGGCAUGUGGGAUCCUCCCAGACCGGGGCACGAACCCAUGUCCCCUGCAUCGGCAGGCAGACUCCCAACCACUGCGCCACCAGGGAAACCCAACUUGUGGACCUUUCUUACUAAGUGAUUUUUGUUUCAGUCUAAUGUUAAAUGAUUAAAUUGAGCUAGCUAAGCCCACGUCAGCUGGAACAAUGGGGAGAGAGCGAGACCAGAGCUGUGGACCAAGGGACAGGGUAACCUGCAAGCUGGACUUUGUUCCUAGGUCUUUUAUGUUCAUCUGAACCUUAGUUGAUUGUGGAUUUUCAGCAAAAUGGGGAAAAGUAAAGUCCAUGCAUGCUGUAGUCUGGCACAGGUGAAUGCUCCAGAACCUGAGAGGUGCUCUGAAGUUAUCAGAGACUAAUCCAAACAGACAUACUCCACUGCAUCCAGGCGGUGUCUUUCCACUCCAAGCACUUUAGUUAGCCUCUAUGUACGACCAUAUCUAUUCAAAAGAGGUUUUCUAAAAAAGGAGAUAUGUAGGAAAUUAUCUCUGCAAUGCUGUAGUCUGUUUUUUCUUCACUUAUAAAUGCACACCAAAAAUUGUAGUUACCACGUGAAUUUUGUGUAGAGCUAAUUCACUCAAUAUAAAAAAGGCUCUUACAAAUCAAGACAAACAAAACAGUCAAAUAUAAUGCAAGACGUUGAUUUCACCAGUGGUCUCAAUCAAUGGCCUCCUAGUAUCCAGGCUCUGGGUGGUGCCCUCUGGCGCAUGCUCUGCUUGGCAGGAGGACUUGCUUUGGCUGAUGGGAUGGGAGUGUCUGCACACACAGGGCAGAGACAGAAGGGCCCUGGAGUCUCUUUUUCCUCCGUCCAAUCCCUGCCACUGUCAGGAGAGCAAGCCCAGGCCAGCCUGACUGAGGAAGGGACCCACACAAAGCAGAGCCGACUCCAUCCUUCACGGCUGGCUCAAGCGACAGGACGCCACCCCCCUGGCUCAGCCACACUUCUGGAUGUGAGUUGGAUUCUGCUAACUGCAGAGCCUGGAGAGGCGCCCUGAUCCUGCCAGCAGCACCGCUGGUCCUCAGGCCAUCCUGGUAACCGGGCGAGGAACGCCUGGAGCAAUGAACCCUGAACAAGAGCUGUGCUCUCCGAAGGACCAGCCACGGUCUCUGGACUUGGGUCGUGGACGAGGCGCUGGGAACCCUGGUGAAGGUGGCGGCCAGCAUCGGCGGUCAGUGCCCUUGGUCACACCAGAGCCCUGACGGCUGCGCGGGGAAUGCAUCUGAGGGGGCGCAGGAGGAGAACUUGGGGGGCUGUUGCAGCAGCGGUCUGGAUGUGAGGCCGAGGCCCGAACCAGGGACUCACCGAAAGGAUGGAGCCGACCAGACUGGCCGGGCCUUCUGGAGAAGGCAGGCACCCGGGGAGGCGGAAUGAAGGGUGGUGUCACAGCUCAGGCAGCAGGUGCAGAAUGAAGGUACACAGUUUGGGGGAGGCUAGGGUUUUUUCUUGUUUUUUUUUUACAAUUUUUUAUUUUAUAUUAGGGUAUAGUUGAUUUACAAUUUUUAAAAAAAAUUUUAUUUUAGGGGGAGGCUAGGUUUUGAGCGAGUUGAGUGUGGGGCAGCCUUGGGACGUCCAUGCAAAAAUGUGCAGCUGGCAGCAGAGGGUCAGGGCUGGAGGGACUCAACGGUCAGGGGGCAGUGAGAUGAGAGUGGAUGAGAUGGGUGGAGGCACACUCGGUACAGGGACAGUGCUGAGCGGGGACAGAAGCAUGCAUGGGACAGGCCCUGACAGAGGCGCUCGCGAAAGAGACGGAAAAGGAAGGUCAGAAAGGAAAACCCAGAAGCCUGUUGUCGGAGGUGACAAGAAACGAGCUUCUGGAAGGUGGGAGUGACUGAUAAUUGAACUGAAAGGAUCAGUAACAUGAGGGCUAAAGGCACGUUACUUGAUUUGGCAAUUGGGUCCCGGUGACCUAAGAGCAGCAGUGAGGAAGCCGGGCGGCAGGGGCCGGCAGUGCCCAUGAACCGGGAACCAAGCACAGGCUCUUCUCUAAGGAGGUCGGGAUGAGAAAGGAUGCUUGAGAUGGAGGAUAAUCAGGAGGGGCUGCCCCUCGUAAGAGCCAGGGAUGGAACAAGACUGGCCAGGAAAGGCACUCGGCACAGCAUCCAGGACACAGUAAGUGCUCAAGAAACAGAAGUUAUCGUUUACUCGCUGGCUAUCUCAUGAUCUACAACCUUACCAUGUGCCAGGCAUUGUUCCGGGUCCUGUAGAUAUAGUGAGCAAGAGACACAAAAACCCUGGCCAAGGAGCUUACAUUCUCGUGGGGGAGACAGACAACAGAGAAAAUUAAUAACUCAAGACAGCUGGUAUAUUCCACAGUGGUAAAUGCUACGGAGAAAACAUGAACUAAGGGAAGAAGAUAUAAAAUGUUGAAGGAGGGAACGAAAUUCUAGAUCUGGUGGCCAGGGAAGGGCCCCACUUUUAAGACCCAAAGGAAGUGAGAAAAGUAUCUAUAAUUAGGAGGUGAGGGAAUACUACUAAUGAUCACCACCACUGUCAUUAGCAUUCUCAAUAUAUUACUACUGCGGUAAUAGGUUGUAAUUAGAUCAUCACCACUAUCUUUGCCACAUGAAUGUUACUAUCAUUACUGCCCUCUCUGGCUCUCGAGUAGCUUUGGCAGCAGCAUCCAGCAGCCCUGUCCACGCUACAGGGGCGUUUUCAAUGGAGAGCCGUGUACUGGAGAACCAAGCAUAACCUGACAGACCAUCAUCACGGCGAGUGUGUAAGGCAGAGGCACAGCUCGGGUGGGAACACACCUGUGUGUAGUCACUGCAAAGAAAAAGCUGCUUCAUGUGUGUGUUGAGGGGAGAAGCGCAGCCCUAGACCGGUCUUUCUGUCCCACCUGCAAGUAGGGAUACAUGUAACAGGCCAUCCUCAGACCCAAAGGCAGGGACACGAAGACAUCUCUGGAGCAACAGGAAACGGUAACAGCAGCUGGAGGAGGUGCAGAUGGAGACAGUGUGUGAUUCAGAGGUCCCAGUCGUGUUUCUACCAGAACAUUUAUCUGGUUGUUAGGGAUAAAAAUCAGCCAGUACCACCUGGGAAUAACAGAGAACUGGACAUUCCUGCUAUUUGCCCAGCCUGGCACAAUGCUGAGAACGGGGGUGAGGGCGUGUGACGAGUUCUUACCAGAUGACACUGAACGAGGGGACUGAGUCUUGCUUGUGAUCGAUGCAAAUGCUUUUUUAACAGAUUGACUUGGACUAAUAAUUAUUAUUUGCAUAUAAAGAAAAAAAGAAAAGGAAAAGAAACAGGAAAAGAAUCCAAAUGCCUGAGGACUUACCCUUUCUUCAACCUGUUUAAGUUGCUACAAAAUUUUUCUAAGUUACAAUGUCGAGUGUUUCACUUCUCGACAGCCACAAACUUCCGUGGGCAGGUGGCAGGUGGGACAGGAAAUGUGACCUGUGGGACAAACCCCAUUUUUCAAAUGAGGUCGUGGAAAAGCUUUGUAAAUAUCUUCAAUGCGUUUUGAGAUGCCUUUAUUAUCCAAAGGGAGCCAAUACAGAACUUGUCAUUAAAAAAAUAAUAACCUCAAGAUUAAAACAUUAUAGCUCCAGUAGCAGUGCUUAGACUAUAGAAACGUUUCCAUUCCUUGUAAAUGUCUAUGUAAACAGAUCCCAGCAUUUCCUUCCAGGCUUUGAAGCCAAAAGUUAAACCAUUGCAAUGCCAAUGAAAAGCCCAUGAAAGAAGAAAGUAUACAGGCCAAUUAUGUUUUACCGCUCAACGUGAUAGGAACUUGCUAUAUUCUAAAUAUUAUUAUCAUGGCCUCACCACACACUCUUUAUUAUAAAACAUUUCACACCCAUACAUAACAGUAUGUACACUGUAUUUUCAUGCUUCUCUAAGGAUUCCAGACACCGACUUCAUCAACAUCAUCUGACUCCACUGGAAGGGCAGAAAAAGUGAAUCAGAGAUUAUGGAAAGAUUCCAAUCGUGCGACGUGCAGUCAUACAGCCAGGAAGACAGCUGCCUCAUCCCCGGGGAAUCCACCACCAAAGCGGGGAGUGCAGGAGAGGGAGGGCAGAAAACACUGGCAACUGGCCCAUUUCACUGCAUCUGCAAACGGAUUCAAGCAGCAGGACGUGGAUUACUGUGGGUUCACUGUUUUCCUCUGGAAACGCCCUCAGCUGUUGUGCUGUGGUUGAAGCACUGAAGGACGUCCGGACUCCGUGUGAGCUGCUGAGCCAGGGCGCCCGUCAUGUCCAGAGAGUCCCCAAGCCCAGAGCACAGGAGGAACUUGACGCAGGCCGCGUGCUGCCCAGAGCAGGCCAGAUGCAGGGCUGGGUGGGGACAGAGGCACCCAGCUCAGUGCAUCACCUACAGCAGUACUGACUGGGGAGCAGGAUGCCCCUGAUAAAAGCACUGACUUUCAAUUGCACAGAUUUCAUAGUUCCAUAUUCUUCCCUAUGACUUUGCCUAUUCUGGAUCAAAACAUUUUUCCUUUUAACCUGACUUGGUCACAGAUGGUUUUAAAAGUAACAAAACCAAUUGGAGAGAAUUUGAGAGACUUGUCCAAAACAAAGUAAGUUAAUGAGAAAUAGGAGACUUUAAAUAGUACAGAAGACAUUUUCAAAGUUUUGUGAAUUCUCUGUGUAAGUAAAAAUAUCACCAUGAGUAAGAAUGAUGUAACAGAAAGAAAAACUGCUGACACAUCUUCCCAUUCUGGUUGGAAAUUGGCGCUGAGGGUUUCUGAUGUGCUGUGAGCCAUGAUCCUGGGUCCUGCUCCCCUGUCGUUAGGAGAAAGUUUGUGUCCUGGGACUUAGUGACCUUCCUCUGCAGCCCUGGAGUGAGUUGUGAAGCAUCACAAGGUCCUACUUAACCCUUGCAAGAUGGACACUGGUGCACAGAGUGCUACUGAGAAGGUUUAUUCUAAAGUCCAAGUCUAAGGAAUUAGCUCUGAAAAUAUCUUUCUGAGCCCGAAACCUAAAAAAUUAUAGUGAUUAAGGUUUUUUUUUUU